UGUAUUGUCACCAGCCAUAUCACCUGCAGUUCAGGCCAAGUAAUUCCUCUGAGGUUAAGCGGGUUUGGGCCUGGCCAGUACUUGGGUGGGAGACCUACUAGGGAAGCUGGGUUGCCACUGCAG
This 123-nucleotide ribosomal RNA is filed under the name Paramormyrops kingsleyae. Lineage: Eukaryota; Metazoa; Chordata; Actinopteri; Osteoglossiformes; Mormyridae. The record is from RNAcentral.